AUUGAACGCUGGCGGAAUGCUUUACACAUGCAAGUCGAACGGCAGCACGGACUUCGGUCUGGUGGGGAGUGGCGAACGGGUGAGUAAUGUAUCGGAACGUGCCCAGUCGUGGGGGAUAACGUUGUGAAAAUUACGCUAAUACCGCAUACGAUCUAUGGAUGAAAGCGGGGGAUCGCACGACCUCGCGCGAUUGGAGCGGACGAUAUCAGAUUAGGUAGUGGGUGGGGUACAGGCCCACCAAGCCAACGAUCUGUAGCUGGUCUGAGAGGACGACCGGCCACACUGGAACUGAGACACGGUCCAGACUCCUACGGGAGGCAGCAGUGGGGAAUUUUGGACAAGGGGCGAAAGCCUGAUCCAGCCAUUCCGCGUGCAGGAUGAAGGCCCUCGGGUUGUAAACUGCUUUUGUACAGAACGAAAAGGUUUCUACUAAUACUAGGAGCUCAUGACGGUACUGUAAGAAUAAGCACCGGCUAACUACGUGCCAGCAGCCGCAGUAA
RNAcentral lists this ribosomal RNA (500 nucleotides) under uncultured bacterium. RNAcentral describes it as "partial 16S ribosomal RNA". It matches the Rfam family "Bacterial small subunit ribosomal RNA", at positions 30 to 523 of the family's 1533-position model. The record is from RNAcentral.